UGGCUGUAUUGAUCCAAUGUCUAUACCCCCAUUGUAUCUAGGAAGUAACUAAUUUGCUUUUAAUUUUACAGGCUCAUAGGCAGAAGGGACUUGCCUUGUCUCAAAUAAGACUUUGGACUCUGGACUUUUGAGUUAAUGCUGAAAUGAGUUAAGACUUUGGGGGACUGUUGGAAAGGUGUUAUUGGUUUUGAAAUAUGAGGACAUGAGAUUUGGGAGGAACCAGAGGAGAAAUGACUUGGUUUGGCUCUGUGUCCCCACACAAAUCUCAUCUUGUAGAUCCCAUAAUUCCCAUGUGUUGUGAGUGGGACCUGGUGGGAGCUGAUUGAGUCAUGGGGGUGGGUCUUCCCCAUGCUGUUCUCGUGAUAGUAAAUGGGUCUCAUGAGAUCAGAUAGUUUUAAAAAUGGGAGUUUCUCUGCGCAAGCUUUUUCUUUGCCUGACGCCAUCCACGUAAGAUGCGACUUGCUCCUCCUUUCCUUCUGCCAUGAUUGUGAGGCCUACUCAGCCAUGCAGAACUGCCAUGUGAGGCAGUGGGAUUGUACUCAAUGGGUUUGGACUCAAAUGAAGACAGCAUCUUACCUGCUUUCAUGCCUCCCUAUAAAGAGUGAUUUUACUCACACUGAGACCAGGUAAAGGUAAACAAAGGAAAGAACAAGCAUUCAAAGGACAGAGCCUACAGGAGGAAUAUCCUGAUGCUUCUGCUGCUUGGCUCUCCUAGCACAUCCCAGUGUGCCUUUUAAAAGUGAAGUCCAAAAAUGAGAGAAAGACAGAGAGAGAGAGAGAGAGAGAGAGAGAUUACACAAGAACAAGGAAGAGGAGAAUAACUACUUUGCAGUGAAGAGCACACCCUACAAAACCAAAAUGACUCCCAUAGGAAGAAGAAGCAAAGAGAAAAUCACAUGGUCAUUUGCA
Molecule: long non-coding RNA, 909 nt
Filed under: Homo sapiens (human)
Lineage: Eukaryota; Metazoa; Chordata; Mammalia; Primates; Hominidae
Description: HSALNT0329269
Source: RNAcentral